UCCGUUGUGGUCUAGUGGUUAGGAUUUACGGCUCUCACCCGUAUGGCCCGGGUUCGAUUCCCGCCAACGGAA
Non-coding RNA from Angiostrongylus costaricensis, 72 nucleotides. The record is from Rfam. Lineage: Eukaryota; Metazoa; Nematoda; Chromadorea; Rhabditida; Metastrongylidae.